Long non-coding RNA from Megachile rotundata (alfalfa leafcutting bee), 2954 nucleotides. RefSeq lists it as uncharacterized. The record is from RefSeq and is a predicted model, not a curated record. Lineage: Eukaryota; Metazoa; Arthropoda; Insecta; Hymenoptera; Megachilidae.
UUUAAUGAAUCACUUGAAACUUUACUCUCCCUACAUGUUUUGCGGUCUCGCGUGUCAUAGUUUUCUGGUGUUCAGCCUUCGCCAAUUAUUAGCGCAAAUCUGAAUGUCCUUCUCGCAAGUGAAGUGGAAAAAUCUCUCGUUAUCUUUGAAAGCUGUUUCGCCGGCGUAAAAGCCUCGAAGCUUACGACGUCAAGGUGGAAGGAUGUCGAAAACGCUUCCAGGUAUGUACUGGGUGUCCUAGUUCUUUUUUUUUCGCCAAAUUUUACCAGCAUAUUUUAUCAAAAAAAUUAGGGGUCAACUCUGGUGACCGAAUACUCUGAAUAUUAUUUUAAGGGAUUUUUAGGGCGUCUGGAAAAGCGAUCCUUGUAUGAUGUGCUGGUCAAGAGACACAAGGACAGAUAUUUGGUUUCCAAAAAUAUGCAAAAACGUGACUACAUUUUGCCAGGAUUUUUAAGCUCAGAAGCAAUAUUUUGUCAUGAUUUCUUUUUCAAAAUAUUCUUCGCGCAAAAAUGUAGGUCGGUAAAGAAAUUUUGCAAUUUUACCCUUAAAACUUCACGAGACAGAAACUUGCAAAUUUUUAUGGAAGAAAUUUUUUCAUUCCUAUAACUUUUCAAUAAAGUAUUCGAAGGCCUACAUUUAUACAUUUCUUCCUUAAUUUUGUUUAGAGAAUAUGUUUUGUAAAGUUUGCGGAAAUAAACUAGGACACCCUGUAUAUAAAAUGAAAUUGAAAAGAGAACCGGAGGAAUUUCCCUGUUCUCUCUCUUUAUUUCGCAUUCAUUCCGUCUUUCUCCGUCUUGAUUUCUGGUAUGCACCUCUCAGAUAGAAAGUCCGUGCAAAGCUCCGAGCUUUGCUGGUGUUAUUUAAGCGGUGGUACAGUCGUACGUAUAACCAGACGCGAGCCUUCUUCUCGUUUCCUUCUAUUACAGUUAUACGGAUCUUGUUUUACUUCUUGGUUGUUCCUUGCUUUAAUUAGACGAUGACGAUAAGAAAUGGACGAAUUUAUUAUGCUUCUGACAAGUUUGCCUGUUAAAGAGAAUGGUUGUACGAGUUCCUUGGUAUUAUUAACACUUUAAAUGUCGUGUCAUCCAUAUGUCGCUGAUGCUUCAAUUUCUGUACGAAUCUAACAUUUAUUUUAUUAAGAAUUUGUUCAUUUAUUUACGAUGAAGAAUUGAACAAAUUAACCAGACUUUUACAUACGAUACUGAAAAGCACUUACCGUCUGCUGGAAGCAGAGACCUUUUUAUUAAACAAAUAUUCUUGAACUUAUUAAUACAAAGAACCGUGCUUCGGUCUACACGUACAUUCUGAACCAUUUACCAACUGUUUUGAGAUACAUAUAUGUAUUUGGAGUACGAAGAUACUAAUAUCUGAUUUAUGAUAUCGAUUUAACACUUUGAUUGCCGUGUCAUCCAUAUAUGCGUGACGUUUAAAUUUCCAUACGCAUUUAUCAUCUAUAUUAUUGAGAACUACUUCACUUACCUAAUUGAAAAUGCUCGUAUUAACUGCUCGGAAUAAUAAAUAAUAAAUGUAACGAAAUAAUGGAUAAUAAAUAUAACGAAGUAUUGUGAAUAUGUUCGGUAAGGUUUAUUGAACACAAAAAUACUACGUAGUAAAAACUAUAGUCAUUUUAUUCUAACAUCAAAAUUUGGUAACAUAAUUCUUAGGCAGUGGAUGAUUAAUCAUACCAACUUUGAAUGGAUGUGUUAUUUUUAAUGGUACAAAGAAAUGUUAUACACGCUGUUCUAAUUAAAUGUACACAUACAUGACUAAAGUGGUGCUUAUUUGAUUAAAACAAUUCUUUUGUACAUUUUCGUGGAGCACCGUGUCAAUACGUUCACCUUCAGUAAUGUGGUAUUUUUGUACAUUUUUCAAUUAAAUAUUAAAAGUCGCUACCAGCUAUUGAAUUUUAUAUUUUCCGACAAAUUGUGUAUUCUUCGAAAUUGCUCGACUGAUAGCAAUAAAUACUACUUUUCCUCUUCACUUCUAGUACAUAAUUUAUCGAGAAUUCGACUCUGAGAUUUAUCGACAAUCUGGUGUACGGAUUCGUUCAAAAUAUUAAUAAGCACAUAACACUCUGUAAUAUUAUGAAAUAUGAAAUGUUAAGGAUGUUUCUUAGCGUACAGAGUAGACUAAUAUUUCAGGAGUUGAAUUUUAAGCACCCUACUGCGGAAAUCUGAAGGAUCAAGAAAUUUUAAAACAUUUAAUUAUUCACAAAGUGUUAUAAUUGUUGCUAUUAAAAAAGAAUGUUAAAAGAAACAAUUGCACAUCUUCGAUAAGACGUGUUGAAGCCAAUCGGAACGAUUCGGCAAUCUUCGGUAAUUUACGGCGCCCGAGCCGGUGGCCGAUCCGCGAUAAUUGACAUGUGUCAGAAUAAAGAAGGCGAAUAGUAAAGACAUGUAGCGUGAAUAACUAAUAAAUUGUUAAUUUUAAGAUGUGUGAGAAAACUUGUGUGAAGUAUAAUAAUUCAGGCAGCCACUGUAAUGGGUUUAGAAAAUUAAGAUGUAACCACAUAAAUCUGUACUACAGGUUACGGCUUGUCUGAGAGUCGUAAACUCGGGAAACAAGCCCCGUGAGUAUCUUCGAGCAAUGAAAUAACGUCGUUAGUUUUACUAUUAUUUCUUCUCUCUUUUCUACCUGCAAAGUAGUACGUUCACGUAAAUUGUUUAAAGCGUUUUAAGUCGAUCCUCUCAACAAAUCGGUUAAAAAUUUAGAAUCAAUCUUUGAGGUUAUAUUGUCGUUUUAUAUUAUACGUGGUAAAAUUUUAGUAAGUCCUUGAAGUACAUUUUUGUGGAAUAAUUUUAGGCUAGUUUAGUUACGAGCCAGAUGCACGUUCGCCUUUUUUAUUUUACGGUUAAAUCGUUAAGUCUCUUUUGUAACCAUUUUACACUGAAGGAAAAUACGCAUAACUACCAAUUUUUUUGUUGCAGUUGAAUACAAAGAUUACAGUUACAAAA